This 253-nucleotide ribosomal RNA is filed under the name uncultured bacterium. RNAcentral's name for it is "partial 16S ribosomal RNA". It matches the Rfam family "Bacterial small subunit ribosomal RNA", at positions 524 to 776 of the family's 1533-position model. The record is from RNAcentral.
UACGGGGGGGGUAAGCGUUGUUCGGAAUUACUGGGCGUAAAGGGCUCGUAGGGGGCCAACUAAGUCAGACGUGAAAUCCCUCGGCUUAACCGGGGAACUGCGUCUGAUACUGGAUGGCUUGAGGUUGGGAGAGGGACGCGGAAUUCCAGGUGUAGCGGUGAAAUGCGUAGAUAUCUGGAGGAACACCGGUGGCGAAGGCGGCGUCCUGGACCAAUUCUGACACUGAGGAGCGAAAGCCAGGGGAGCAAACGGG